This 54-nucleotide microRNA precursor is filed under the name Chlorocebus sabaeus (green monkey). RNAcentral describes it as "miRNA (ENSCSAG00000026353.1)". Lineage: Eukaryota; Metazoa; Chordata; Mammalia; Primates; Cercopithecidae. The record is from RNAcentral.
GGGCGGGAAUUCAGAGCCAGUCAGGGAGUGACUGACGGCCUGUUUCUCUCCUAG